RNAcentral lists this unclassified non-coding RNA (372 nucleotides) under Hevea brasiliensis (rubber tree). Lineage: Eukaryota; Viridiplantae; Streptophyta; Magnoliopsida; Malpighiales; Euphorbiaceae. The record is from RNAcentral.
ACCAUUUGUAAAUUGUAGCAGGCUCGAACAAUGGGGGAUCAAUGGUGCUAUCUUUUUUAUCCAAUCUCCUCCUUCCCAUAUGUAGAAGGCAAAAACUGGAUUAGCUAUCGUCUAUCAUUGGCGACGAGGACAAAGCAGCACAUAAUGGAACUUUAGCAUCCCAUAAUGGGAUACACCACCAUGAUUCUGCAAUCGGAUCGUAUAGUUCGUAAGCUGAAGAAUCUCCUUUUGCCACUGGCAGACCAUGGAAGCAUCCAAGAAAAUGACAAGCUGGAAGUGCAGGUCUUUCUCUUCUCCAAUAUCAGGAGAAACCCCCUUCUAAGUUCUAAAUGGAAAGUGUGAGGUUCUUUGUGGUUAUGGUGACUUCCAUAA